Mercurialis annua (annual mercury) is the source of this 938-nucleotide long non-coding RNA. RefSeq lists it as uncharacterized. The record is from RefSeq and is a predicted model, not a curated record. The transcript is spliced from 6 exons. Lineage: Eukaryota; Viridiplantae; Streptophyta; Magnoliopsida; Malpighiales; Euphorbiaceae.
UUAUUUCUCUAAGCAAAAACAUUCUCUUCUUCCUCUUCAAUUAUAGCCCUUUUAAUUUUGUUUCAUCCCCUAACGGUCAUAUUAUCUCUCUCAACAAAAACAUUUUCUUUUUCUUUUUCAAUUAGUUUCAUCCCCCAACGGUCAUAUUAUCUCCCUCACCAUUCGAAACAUUUCUUCUCUGUCUCUCGCUCCCUCUCCCUCAUGACCUGCCACAAAAGGUAGAGGUUUAUGGGUAUGAUAAUCUAAGUUCAGAUCCACCGGUUAAGCAGCGGGAAGACGUAUACAAUGAGAAGAAUAAUAGAAAAAGCUGUUGAUUGUCAGCAUAUAUGCUUACUGGAAGCUGUUGGACAAAGGCAUUAUCCGAGAACUGAGUCUCAUUCUUUUAUUGAUAAACUUCUGAUAAAGAUAUAUAUCAAAGCUUAUAUGUGGUUAGUAUGGCUGCUGCAGACAAUUGAAGUACUCUCCAAGAAAAUUCAGAUUGUGUUAGAUCUUUUGUAGCAUGCCUGGUAAAAAGUUGGUAACUUUUGCCAAUAUAAGCAAACUACAUAUGCAAUUUUUAUGUUAGAAUUUCACUGUGUAGAAGUUGCUAAAGUGAUCCAUGGUUUUCAGAAUUUUGUAGAUAACAAAUCUCAGGUUUCAGAUAUGCUAAAUUCCUGUUGCAACACUCUCUUGGUGGUAUUGCACGUACUGCCAUCAUAUGUUACUCUAAGCCGCAGAAUUUGCCAUGUUGAACAAUCUCGAAACACUCUACUUUUGCCACAAGAGCAAAGUAAGACUACUAACAAUGCCCAAGUCAAAUGCUGGUUAAAACACACAUUGCAGAAGGAAGCCAGGCCUCCUGCGGACCGUUAACCCUUCAAAGUAAAAAAAGACGUGAUAUUCAGCAGGUGAAUUUCUAGCUUAGUUGAAUUUAGAAGCUUACAUCUUUUUUUCAAUUU